This 74-nucleotide transfer RNA is filed under the name Acholeplasma laidlawii. RNAcentral describes it as "tRNA-Gln". It matches the Rfam family "tRNA". Rfam says of the family: Transfer RNA (tRNA) molecules are approximately 80 nucleotides in length. The record is from RNAcentral. Lineage: Bacteria; Bacillati; Mycoplasmatota; Mollicutes; Acholeplasmatales; Acholeplasmataceae.
AGGCCCAUAGCCAAGCGGUAAGGCAACGGACUUUGACUCCGUCACUCGUAGGUUCAAAUCCUGCUGGGCCUGCC